GGGAGGACAGGUGGUGCAUGGUUGUCGUCAGCUCGUGUCGUGAGAUGUUGGGUUAAGUCCCGCAACGAGCGCAACCCCUAUUGUCAGUUGCCAGCAGGUUAAGCUGGGCACUCUGGCGAGACUGCCGUUGACAAAACGGAGGAAGGUGGGGACGACGUCAAAUCAUCAUGCCCCUUAUGUUCUGGGCUACACACGUGCUACAAUGGCCGGUACAGACGGACGCAAAGCCGCGAGGUGGAGCAAAUCCUAAAAAGCCGGUCUCAGUUCGGAUUGCAGGCUGCAAUUCGCCUGCAUGAAGUCGGAAUCGCUAGUAAUCGCAGGUCAGCAUACUGCGGUGAAUACGUUCCCGGGCCUU
RNAcentral lists this ribosomal RNA (355 nucleotides) under uncultured Pelotomaculum sp. Its description in RNAcentral is "bacterial SSU rRNA". It matches the Rfam family "Bacterial small subunit ribosomal RNA", at positions 1028 to 1382 of the family's 1533-position model. The record is from RNAcentral. Lineage: Bacteria; Bacillati; Bacillota; Clostridia; Eubacteriales; Desulfotomaculaceae.